CGUAGGGUGCAGGCGUUAAUCGGAAUUACUGGGCGUAAAGCGUGCGCAGGCGGUUUGCUAAGACAGGUGUGAAAUCCCCGGGCUUAACCUGGGAACUGCGCUUGUUACUGGCAAGCUGGAGUGUGGCAGAGGGGGGUGGAAUUCCACGUGUAGCAGUGAAAUGCGUAGAGAUGUGGAGGAACACCGAUGGCGAAGGCAGCCCCCUGGGCUAACACUGACGCUCAUGCACGAAAGCGUGGGGAGCAAACAGGAUUAGAUACCCUGGUAGUCCACGCCCUAAACUAUGUCAACUGGUUGUCGGGGAAGCAAUUCCUUGGUACGAAGCUAACGCGUGAAGUUGACCGCCUGGGGAGUACGGCCGCAAGGUUA
Molecule: ribosomal RNA, 369 nt
Filed under: uncultured organism
Description: bacterial SSU rRNA
Rfam family: Bacterial small subunit ribosomal RNA
Source: RNAcentral